This 334-nucleotide ribosomal RNA is filed under the name uncultured bacterium. Its description in RNAcentral is "bacterial SSU rRNA". It matches the Rfam family "Bacterial small subunit ribosomal RNA", at positions 28 to 355 of the family's 1533-position model. The record is from RNAcentral.
GAUGAACGCUAGCUACAGGCUUAACACAUGCAAGUCGAGGGGCAGCAUGGUCUUAGCUUGCUAAGACUGAUGGCGACCGGCGCACGGGUGAGUAACACGUAUCCAACCUGCCGUCUACUCUUGGACAGCCUUCUGAAAGGAAGAUUAAUACAAGAUGGCAUCAUGAGUCCGCAUGUUCACAUGAUUAAAGGUAUUCCGGUAGACGAUGGGGAUGCGUUCCAUUAGAUAGUAGGCGGGUAACGGCCCACCUAGUCUUCGAUGGAUAGGGGUUCUGAGAGGAAGGUCCCCACAUUGGAACUGAGACACGGUCCAAACUCCUACGGGAGGCAGCAGU